UACGGAGGGGGCUAGCGUUGUUCGGAUUUACUGGGCGUAAAGCGAGCGUAGGCGGUUCUUUAAGUCAGAGGUGAAAGCCCGGGGCUCAACUCGGGAACGUCCUUUGAAACUGGGGAACUUGAGUGCAGAAGAGGAGAGUGGAAUUCCAUGUGUAGAGGUGAAAUGCGUAGAUAUAUGGAAGAACACCAGUGGCGAAGGCGACUCUCUGGACUGUAACUGACGCUGAUGUGCGAAAGCGUGGGGAGCAAACAGG
Molecule: ribosomal RNA, 253 nt
Filed under: uncultured bacterium
Lineage: Bacteria
Description: partial 16S ribosomal RNA
Rfam family: Bacterial small subunit ribosomal RNA
Source: RNAcentral